This 95-nucleotide transfer RNA is filed under the name Malassezia nana. RNAcentral describes it as "tRNA-Ser". It matches the Rfam family "tRNA". Rfam says of the family: Transfer RNA (tRNA) molecules are approximately 80 nucleotides in length. Lineage: Eukaryota; Fungi; Basidiomycota; Malasseziomycetes; Malasseziales; Malasseziaceae. The record is from RNAcentral.
GGCAACUUGCCAGAGUGGUCUAAUGGGUGAGACUUGAACCAAUCGGCGCAAUCUCAUGGGCUCCGCCCGCACAGGUUCGAACCCUGUAGUUGUCG